RNAcentral lists this ribosomal RNA (252 nucleotides) under uncultured bacterium. Its description in RNAcentral is "partial 16S ribosomal RNA". It matches the Rfam family "Bacterial small subunit ribosomal RNA", at positions 524 to 776 of the family's 1533-position model. The record is from RNAcentral.
UACAGAGGUCUCAAGCGUUGUUCGGAUUCAUUGGGCGUAAAGGGUGCGUAGGCGGCGCGGUAAGUCGGAUGUGAAAUCUCGGGGCUUAACUCCGAAACUGCAUUCGAUACUGCCGUGCUUGAGGACUGGAGAGGAGACUGGAAUUACGGUGUAGCGGUGAAAUGCGUAGAUAUCGUAAGGAAGACCAGUGGCGAAGGCGGGUCUCUGGACAGUUCCUGACGCUGAGGCACGAAGGCCAGGGGAGCAAACGGG